RNAcentral lists this ribosomal RNA (107 nucleotides) under Heterocephalus glaber (naked mole-rat). Lineage: Eukaryota; Metazoa; Chordata; Mammalia; Rodentia; Bathyergidae. The record is from RNAcentral.
GUCUACAGCCAUACCACCCUGAAUGUGCUCGAUCUCAUCUGAUCUCGGAAGCUAAGCAGGGUCGUGCCUGGUUAGUACUUGGAUGGGAGAGUCCUGCAUAAUAUACA